Non-coding RNA from Poecilia reticulata (guppy), 378 nucleotides. Lineage: Eukaryota; Metazoa; Chordata; Actinopteri; Cyprinodontiformes; Poeciliidae. The record is from RefSeq and is a predicted model, not a curated record.
GCUAGGAACGAACGCUCAGGGAGCCGACGGUGAGUAGAUCUGCGUUUAUUCUUCAUCGUACACACAGAUGACUCAGGUCAGAUACAAGAGUACAACUUGCGGAGUCUUCCUCAAAAACUAAACUAAACUCGGAGGUACCUUUCCUCUACUCCGUUGAACACAGAAACUAAACAGCACAAUGGUCAGACAACAAUCCGGCGACGGCAUUCUGACGACGAUCCAGCGCCACACAAUGGUGCACGCCGACUUAAAUUACCAGGGGAACAGGUGAACGAGAUUACCAAUCAACAGAGGGUAAAUGACCAGAAUAAACAUAGAAACACAGAAUAAACCCCUAAACAUAGAAUGAGAAUACAGAAAUAAACCCAAAAGAACUGA